This 374-nucleotide RNase P RNA is filed under the name Acidobacteriota bacterium. RNAcentral describes it as "RNase P RNA component class A". It matches the Rfam family "Bacterial RNase P class A". From Rfam's summary of the family: Ribonuclease P (RNase P) is a ubiquitous endoribonuclease, found in archaea, bacteria and eukarya as well as chloroplasts and mitochondria. Its best characterised activity is the generation of mature 5'-ends of tRNAs by cleaving the 5'-leader elements of precursor-tRNAs. The record is from RNAcentral. Lineage: Bacteria; Pseudomonadati; Acidobacteriota.
CGAGUCGUUCAGACGGUCGCCGGCUCCUCCGGGAGCGGGAGGAAAGUCCGAACUCCACAAGGCAGUGCGCUGGGUAACGCCCAGUCCGGGUGACCGGAAGGAAAGUGCCACAGAAAACAGACCGCCUCUCCCUCCGGGGAGCGGUAAGGGUGAAAAGGUGCGGUAAGAGCGCACCGCCCGGGCAGCGAUGUCCGGGGCACGGUAAACCCCGCAUGGAGCAAGACCAAAUAGGGAAGCGCCCGAGGGCCGCCUGUCCGAGCUUCCGGGUAGGUCGCUCGACCCGUCGGGCAACCGCCGGGCUAGAUGCAUGACCGUCACCCCGCCGCGGGCGACCGCGCCGGGGAACAGAAUUCGGCUUACGAGCGGCUCGGACC